GUGAAUCAUCAAAUUUUUGAACGCAAAUUGCACUCUCCGGUUUUCCGGGAGAGUAUGCCUGUUUGAGGGUCAGCCUAAAAAAAAUCGCCAUUGUUGCGUUUAUUUAAUGGUGACUUUGUUCGGAGAUUGGUUUAUCUUAACCCUUUUUUUUUUUUUUGGUUUAACCGACUUAAAAUUUUUUUUCCCGAUUCCAUGAAGUUUUCUAAGUUUUUUAUUUUUUAUC
RNAcentral lists this unclassified non-coding RNA (223 nucleotides) under Glomus sp. RNAcentral describes it as "partial contains 5.8S ribosomal RNA and internal transcribed spacer 2". The stretch from base 1 to 72 matches the Rfam family "5.8S ribosomal RNA", at positions 84 to 154 of the family's 154-position model. The record is from RNAcentral. Lineage: Eukaryota; Fungi; Glomeromycota; Glomeromycetes; Glomerales; Glomeraceae.